GCGAACGCUGGCGGCAUGCCUAACACAUGCAAGUCGAACGAGACCUUCGGGUCUAGUGGCGCACGGGUGCGUAACGCGUGGGAACCUGCCCUUAGGCUCGGAAUAACUCCCCGAAAGGGGUGCUAAUACCGGAUAAUGUCUUCGGACCAAAGAUUUAUCGCCUUUGGAUGGGCCCGCGUUGGAUUAGCUAGUUGGUAGGGUAAAAGCCUACCAAGGCGACGAUCCAUAGCUGGUCUGAGAGGAUGAUCAGCCACACUGGGACUGAGACACGGCCCAGACUCCUACGGGAGGCAGAGGGGGGGAAUAUUGAAAAAGGGGGGAAAGCGUGAUCCACCAAUGCCGCGGGAGGGAUGAAGCCCUUGGGGUUGAAAAGCUCUUUUCCCCGGGAGGAAAAUGACAGCACCGGAAGAAUAAGCCCCGGCUAACCCCGUC
Molecule: ribosomal RNA, 432 nt
Filed under: uncultured bacterium
Lineage: Bacteria
Description: partial 16S ribosomal RNA
Rfam family: Bacterial small subunit ribosomal RNA
Source: RNAcentral